CCUACGGGGGGCAGCAGUAGGGAAUCUUCCACAAUGGGCGAAAGCCUGAUGGAGCAACGCCGCGUGGGUGAAGAAGGUCUUCGGCUCGUAAAACCCUGUUGUUAGAGAAGAAAGUGCGUGAGAGUAACUGUUCACGUUUCGACGGUAUCUAACCAGAAAGCCACGGCUAACUACGUGCCAGCAGCCGCGGUAAUACGUAGGUGGCAAGCGUUAUCCGGAUUUAUUGGGCGUAAAGGGAACGCAGACGGUCUUUUAAGUCCGAUGUGAAAGCCUUGGGCUUAACCGGCGUAGUGCAUUGGAAACUGGGAGAGUUGAGUGCAGGAGAGGAGAGUGGAACUCCAUGUGUAGCGGUGAAAUGCGUAGAUAUCACACGGAACACCGAUGGCGAAGGCAGCUCACGGAUCCGCGAUUGACGCUGAUGCACGAAAGCGUGGGUAUCAAACAGGAUUAGAUACCCUUGUAGUC
RNAcentral lists this ribosomal RNA (465 nucleotides) under uncultured bacterium. RNAcentral's name for it is "partial 16S ribosomal RNA". It matches the Rfam family "Bacterial small subunit ribosomal RNA", at positions 338 to 795 of the family's 1533-position model. The record is from RNAcentral.